AUCUAUACAGUGAAACUGCGAACGGCUCAUUAAAUCAGUUAUCGUUUAUUUGAUAGUACCUUACUACUUGGAUAACCGUGGUAAUUCUAGAGCUAAUACAUGCUAAAARUCCCAACCCUCCGGAUGGGACGUAUUUAUUAGAUAAAAAACCAAUGCCUUUGGGCUUCUUGGUGAUUCAUGAUAACUUUACGAAUCGCAUGGCCUUGUGCCGGCGAUGGUUCAUUCAAAUUUCUGCCCUAUCAACUUUCGAUGGUAGGAUAGUGGCCUACCAUGGUUUCAACGGGUAACGGGGAAUUAGGGUUCGAUUCCGGAGAGGGAGCCUGAGAAACGGCUACCACAUCCAAGGAAGGCAGCAGGCGCGCAAAUUACCCAAUCCCGACACGGGGAGGUAGUGACAAUAAAUACUGAUACAGGGCCCAUUUGGGUCUUGUAAUUGGAAUGAGUACAAUUUAAAGCCUUUAACAAGGAACAAUUGGAGGGCAAGUCUGGUGCCAGCAGCCGCGGUAAUUCCAGCUCCAAUAGCGUAUAUUAAAGUUGUUGCAGUUAAAAAGCUCGUAGUUGAACCUUGGGUCUGGGUGACCGGUCUGCGUCCCCGCAUGCACUGGAAANCCGGAUCUUUCCUUCUGGAGAAUCGCAUGCCCUUCAUUGGGUGUGUCGNGGAACCAGGACUUUUACUUUGAAAAAAUUA
RNAcentral lists this ribosomal RNA (688 nucleotides) under Octospora svrcekii. RNAcentral's name for it is "SSU rRNA". It matches the Rfam family "Eukaryotic small subunit ribosomal RNA", at positions 72 to 779 of the family's 1831-position model. Lineage: Eukaryota; Fungi; Ascomycota; Pezizomycetes; Pezizales; Pyronemataceae. The record is from RNAcentral.